RNAcentral lists this unclassified non-coding RNA (296 nucleotides) under uncultured Lactococcus sp. Its description in RNAcentral is "partial contains 16S ribosomal RNA, 16S-23S ribosomal RNA intergenic spacer, and 23S ribosomal RNA". It matches the Rfam family "Bacterial large subunit ribosomal RNA", at positions 159 to 453 of the family's 2925-position model. The record is from RNAcentral. Lineage: Bacteria; Bacillati; Bacillota; Bacilli; Lactobacillales; Streptococcaceae.
ACUAUCUAUUCAUCAACCAAGGGAAUACGCAGUGAACUGAAACAUCUAAGUAGCUGCAGGAAGAGAAAGAAAAAUCGAUUUCCUUAGUAGCGGCGAGCGAAGAGGAAAGAGCCCAAACCAAGUGAUUUAUCAUUUGGGGUUGUAGGACUGCAACGUGGUAGCGUGAGUGAUAGCAGAAUUAUCUGGGAAGGUAAGCCAGAGAGGGUGAGAGCCCCGUAAGCGAAAUUGCAAGCGCGCCUAGCAGAAUCCUGAGUAGGUCGGGACACGAGAAAUCCCUUGGUUGAUGAAUAGAUAGU